RNAcentral lists this ribosomal RNA (394 nucleotides) under uncultured bacterium. Its description in RNAcentral is "partial 16S ribosomal RNA". It matches the Rfam family "Bacterial small subunit ribosomal RNA", at positions 338 to 729 of the family's 1533-position model. The record is from RNAcentral.
CCUACGGGUGGCAGCAGUGAGGAAUAUUGGUCAAUGGGCGCGAGCCUGAACCAGCCAAGUCGCGUGAAGGAUGACUGCCCUACGGGUUGUAAACUUCUUUUAUCAGGGAAUAAAGUGCGGCACGUGUGCCUUUUUGUAUGUACUUUAUGAAUAAGGAUCGGCUAACUCCGUGCCAGCAGCCGCGGUAAUACGGAGGAUUCGAGCGUUAUCCGGAUUUAUUGGGUUUAAAGGGUGCGUAGAUGGGUAGUUAAGUCAGUGGUGAAAGUUUGCGGCUCAACCGUAAAAGUGCCAUUGAAACUGGUAGUCUUGAGUACAGGUGAGGUAUGCGGAAUGCGUGGUGUAGCGGUGAAAUGCAUAGAUAUCACGAAGAACUCCGAUUGCGAAGGCAGCAUAC